RNAcentral lists this ribosomal RNA (492 nucleotides) under uncultured bacterium. RNAcentral describes it as "partial 16S ribosomal RNA". It matches the Rfam family "Bacterial small subunit ribosomal RNA", at positions 29 to 507 of the family's 1533-position model. The record is from RNAcentral.
AGUGAACGCUGGCGGUAGGCCUAACACAUGCAAGUCGAACGGCAGCACAGUAAGAGCUUGCUCUUACGGGUGGCGAGUGGCGGACGGGUGAGGAAUACAUCGGAAUCUACUUUUUCGUGGGGGAUAACGUAGGGAAACUUACGCUAAUACCGCAUACGACCUACGGGUGAAAGCAGGGGAUCUUCGGACCUUGCGCGAUUGAAUGAGCCGAUGUCGGAUUAGCCAGUUGGCGGGGUAAAGGCCCACCAAGGCGACGAUCCGUAGCUGGUCUGAGAGGAUGAUCGGCCACAAGGGAACUGAGACACGGUCCAGACUCCUACGGGAGGCAGCAGUGGGGAAUAGUGGACAAUGGGCGCAAGCCUGAUCCAGCCAUACCGAGUGGGUGAAGAAGGCCUUCGGGUUGUAAAGCCCUUUUGUUGGGAAAGAAAAGCAGCAGGUUAAUACCCCGCUGUUCUGACGGUACCCAAAGAAUAAGCAACGGCUAACUUCGUG